ACCCACUUCGGCUUUUUGUGUCACACACGCGCAUAGUUUUCCCUUUCCCAGCUUAACAAGCGAUAGCGACGCUGUUAAAUUAAAUUUAGUGACAAACGAAUUGCUUUCUUGUCAUUCGAUAUGUAAAGACAGACCGCAAAGGGCGAGGCGCGAGCAGAAGCACAUGUUAACUUUACCGGCGGCGCCGCGGCGGGGGAUCACGGAGCCGUCGUCUACGCUGUCACUGAGGCAAAGACAAGAAGCACAUUCACUUCACAGUCGGUACGGCAGAGUGUGCAGAGUUUUUAUGUCCAUCCAUUGAUGAGGCUAGCAAGACCUUCAAACAACUUCAGCCAAUUGCAACAAAUGUGGUGGAAUUUCUUCUCUGGACAGAAUCCUCGAAACCCUUUCCUUUCGUCCUGGCCAUGGGAAACAUGCAGCAGACCUCUCAAUCUUUUUUCUCAAUCAGUCUCUCUGAAUACGGAAGUGACUUAAACUGCAAUUCGGCCAAGAUGGCGACGACACGCACCGCCUACUUUAAGCUUCAAAAAUGCUCUUCACAAACCAAUGGGUGACGUC
Misgurnus anguillicaudatus (oriental weatherfish) is the source of this 558-nucleotide non-coding RNA. Lineage: Eukaryota; Metazoa; Chordata; Actinopteri; Cypriniformes; Cobitidae. The record is from RefSeq and is a predicted model, not a curated record.